AAUAGUUGUUUUUUUUUUUUUAAUUUUGAAAAAUCAACAGAAAAGAAAAAACCUUUUUCCCUUGUUCCUUGCUUUUCCUCGAGUUUUGGCUUUGGUGUGU
Molecule: non-coding RNA, 100 nt
Filed under: Pteridomonas danica
Lineage: Eukaryota; Dictyochophyceae; Pedinellales
Source: RNAcentral